This 289-nucleotide unclassified non-coding RNA is filed under the name uncultured Rhizophagus. Its description in RNAcentral is "sequence contains ITS2". The record is from RNAcentral. Lineage: Eukaryota; Fungi; Glomeromycota; Glomeromycetes; Glomerales; Glomeraceae.
AACGCAAAUUGCACUCUUUUCGGAGAGUAUGCCUGUUUGAGGGUCAGUAUAUAUUAAAAAUCGGUAUGUUGCUUUUUUUGUGACGUUUCCGGAGUUUGAGUUAUCUUAACUCUUUUGGGUUUUAAGAGGCUUAAAAUUGACCUUAUUUGUGCAUUAUAGACGUACAUAAAUUUUUUUAUUAGUUUAUCUUUAUGCCAAAAUCUAUUAGAUGCGACCAUAUCAUGUGGUUUUGUGUCCAUAAAUUUCAUGAUUUGACCUCAAAUCAGGUAGGAACACCCGCUGAACUUAA